UCUUUUUCUCUUCUAUUCGUCUUCUCUCCUUUCCUGUCGAUCUCAAUUCGACGAAUUGAGUUUGUUUCGUUGAUUUAAUUCAUAAAAACUUGGUAGUAUGUUAAAUCGAAGGUGCCGAUGUUGGUUCCAUGUUUGAAUUAGCUCGGGAGAAGAAGGAACUGAUGUUGUUGUAAUUUGAAGUUAGAGUUUCAUUUGAGAUUCAAAGAGGAAUUAGAAGAUGAAGAUGAUGGUUUAGAUGAUUGAAUUAAUUUGGGUUUAUUAAGAAUUAGGAUAUAAGGUUGAAGAGUGGUCUGAAUUUGAUAUUAGGGUUCCUGAGUUGGAUUAGAAUUCGAAUUAGGUGAUGAUUAAGAAGAAAUUGACGACUGGGUUCUGUUAAUUGAGGAACGGGAUGAAGUUAAUUGGAUAACUUGGAGUUAUUCAUGAAGAACUGAGGAAUUAGGGUUUCUGUUCUUCCCCCAAAAUGGAAAUUAGGGUUUCAAUGGAAUUGAAUUGGGAAAUUAGCUAUUCAGAGGAUGCUCAUGCUUGGUUAAUUGUUAUUAACAAUGAUCGAUUCAAAGAAUGAACCAGUGGAUUAUGGAUCUCAAGGUAUACGAGGCUUGUCAUCAAAUCAGUUUCAGUUUUCAGAAGAGAUGGUGCGCAUGAAGAUAUUCUUUUCGUAGAUGAAAGCAUUAGCAGAUUAAGAACGUUUAUGGAUCUUUUAUAUAUUUGUAUUCUUUGCUUAUCUGUAAAACAACACAUUAAUAUAUUCAUAUCAUAUGAGAGUUUUCAUCUAUUAAGUAUCAGAGU
Long non-coding RNA from Papaver somniferum (opium poppy), 786 nucleotides. RefSeq lists it as uncharacterized. Lineage: Eukaryota; Viridiplantae; Streptophyta; Magnoliopsida; Ranunculales; Papaveraceae. The record is from RefSeq and is a predicted model, not a curated record. The transcript has 3 exons.